GGGAAUUUUCCGCAAUGGGCGAAAGCCUGACGGAGCAAUGCCGCGUGGAGGUGGAAGGCCUACGGGUCGUCAACUUCUUUUCUCGGAGAAGAAACAAUGACGGUAUCUGAGGAAUAAGCAUCGGCUAACUACGUGCCAG
This 139-nucleotide ribosomal RNA is filed under the name uncultured bacterium. RNAcentral's name for it is "partial 16S rRNA". It matches the Rfam family "Bacterial small subunit ribosomal RNA", at positions 357 to 511 of the family's 1533-position model. The record is from RNAcentral.